CAGCAGCCGCGGUAAUACGUAAGGGGCAAGCAUUACUUAGUUUUAUUUGGCGUAAAGCGUUUGUAGGUUAUUUUUCUAGUUGUUUUAAAAAUAACAAAGCUUAACUUUGUUUCAUAAAAUAAUACAGUUUUUUUUGAGUUUCACUAAGGAAAACAGUAUUCCCUGCGUACAGGUAAAAUUGGUUCAUUCUGGGAGGAAUGCCUAAAACGAAAGUAAUUUUCCGGGUGCAAACUGACUCUGAGAAACGAAAGUGUGGUUAGCAAAUAGGAUUAGAUACCCUAGUAGUCCACACUGUAAACAAUGCCUAUUUAAUUCUGCUUUUACUUUUUGGAGUAACGCCGCGUUUAAGUUAACACAAAAAAGGCCGCCUGAAUAGUAUUUUCGCAAGAUUGAAACUCAAAGGAAUUGACGG
This 412-nucleotide ribosomal RNA is filed under the name uncultured bacterium. RNAcentral describes it as "partial 16S ribosomal RNA". It matches the Rfam family "Bacterial small subunit ribosomal RNA", at positions 509 to 916 of the family's 1533-position model. The record is from RNAcentral.